Molecule: long non-coding RNA, 2850 nt
Organism: Astyanax mexicanus (Mexican tetra)
Lineage: Eukaryota; Metazoa; Chordata; Actinopteri; Characiformes; Acestrorhamphidae
Exons: 3
Source: RefSeq, a predicted model, not a curated record
GGUGGUUGCUAAGGUGUUGCUAUGCGGUUGCUAAGGUGUUGCUAUGGUAUCUGGGGUGGUUGCUAAGGUGUUGCUAGGUGGUUGCUAGGGUGUUGCUAUGGUAUCUGGGGUGGUUGCUAAGGUGUUGCUAGAUGGUUGCUAAGGUGUUGCUAUGGUAUCCGGGGUGGUUGCUAAGGUGUUGCUAGGUGGUUGCUAGGCGGUUGCUAAGGUGUUGCUAUGGUAUCCGAGGUGGUUGCUAAAUGGUUACUAGGCAGUUCCUAACGUAUUCCACAUGGUUGCUAAGUGGUUGCUAGGCACUUGCUAAUGUUUUCCAGGUGGUUGCUAAGGUGUAUCUAACUGGUUGCUAGGCAGUUGCUAAUAUUUCUGAAGUGGUUGCUAAGCAGUUGCUAGGCAGUUGUUAACGUUUUCCAGGUGGUUGCUAAGGUGUUGCUAACUGGUUGCUAGGCAGUUGCUAACGUAUUCCACAUGGUUGCUAAGUGGUUGCUAGGCAGUUGCUAACAUUUUCCAGGUGGUUGCUAAGGUGUUGCUAACUGGUUGCUAGGCAGUUGCUAACAUAUUCCAGACAUAAAAAGAAAGAGAAAGCAAGACAUAGAAAAGUAGAGUGAAAGAGAAGUAGAGAGAAGAGCGAGAAAUAAAGAAAGAGUAAGAGAGAAUAGAGAAAUAGAAAAGUAGCGAGAAAGAGAAAUUGAGACGUAGAGAGAGAGAGUGAGAAAGAGAGAAAGAAAGAGUGAGAAAUAGAGAAGUAGAGAGUAAAAGAGAGAGUGAGAAAUAGAGACGUAGAGAGAGAGUGAGAAAGAGAGUGAGAAAUUCAGAAGUAGAGUGAGAAAGAGAGUGAGAAAUAGAGAAGUAGAGAGCAAAAGAGAGUGAGAAAUAGAGAAGUAGAGAGAGUGAGAAAGAGAGAGUGAGAAAUAAAGAAAUGUAAAGAGCAAAAGAGAGAGUGAGAAAUAGAGAAGUAGAGAGAAAAAGAUAUAGAGACAUAGAGCGUGAGAAAGAGAUAAGUAGAGAGCAAAAGAGAGUGAGAAAUAGAGAAGUAGAGAGCAAAAGAGAGAGUGAGAAAUAGAGACGUAGAGAGAGUGAGAAAUAGAGAAGUAGAGAGCAAAAGAGAGUGAGAAAUAGAGAAGUAGAGAGAGUGAGAAAGAGAGUGUGAGAAAUAGAGACGUAGAGAGAGAGUGAGAAAGAAAGAGUGAGAAAUAGAGAAGUAGAGAGCAAAAGAGAGUGAGAAAUAGAGAAGUAGAGAGCAAAAGAGAGUGAGAAAUAGAGACAUAGAGAGAGAGUGAGAAAGAGAGAGUGAGAAAUAGAGAAGUAGAGAGCAAAAGAGAGAGUGAGAAGUAGAGAGCAAAAGAGAGAGCGAGAAGUAGAUAAGUAGAGAGCAAAAGAGAGAGUGAGAAACAGAGAAGUAGAGAGCAAAAGAUAGAGUGAAAAGUAGAGAGAGAGUGAGAAAGAGAGAGUGAGAGAAGUAGAGAGAGAGUGAGAAAGAGAGAGUGAGAGAAGUAGAGAGAGAGUGAGAAAGAGAGAGUGGUUGCUAAGCAGUUAAUAGGUGGUUGCAAAGCGCUGGCUGGGGUGCCCGGGGUGUCCAAACUUUUGACUGAUAGCUGCUCCAUACAGCAGCUCCUCCAUACACUCACAGUACUGGAGGAGCAGGGGAGAGAAGGGGUUCCGUGCGCAGAGCUGCUCGUGUGUGAGAUGGAACUCUGGGCCCCCCAUUCAUUUCUAUGGGAAAACUUCGUACGACAAUUGUACGAAAACCGUACGUCGUAUCGCUUCGCAACCUACUAUUAAUUUAAAGAUCUUGAUAAGAUCUAUUAGCUCGCCGAAUUUGGUCUCCGUAUCUCAAAAAUUGUGACCGUCACGGACGUUCAAAAUUCUCCCCCAUUCAUUCCUAUGGGGAAAAAAUGCGUACGUUUACGAAGUUUUUACGAAAACCGUACGAUAAAUCGCUCCAAAAAGCACAAGCAACGUAAUUCACUAUAGGUCCUACGAUCCGUGAAAGUUUCGUGAUUCUACGAUAAAAGCUCUAGGAGGAGUAGCGUACAGAAAAAAAGGCGUAAGAAUAAUAAUAAUAACUAGAAAAGGAAAGUUCGAUAACGAACUUUAAGUUGGCUUGGAAAAGUACGUUAAUAACGUUGAAAAAGUUAAAAUGGUUGCUAAGAUAUUUCUGUCUAAAGCGUGUGAAGAGUGGUUGCUUUGCUGUUGACUUUCAGCUAAAUGUUAAAGUCCAAAAAGUUUUGGCUAACAUGGUGAAAAGCUAAUAAUUGUCUUAUAAAGUAAUAUAAACACUUUACUUUAUAUAUACCUAUAUAAAUUAAAGUGUUGCUAAGUGGUUGCUAGGUAGUUACUAGGCAGUUGCUAAUGUAUUCCACAUCGUUGCUUAGUGUUUGCUAAUUGGUUGCUAAGCAGAUUCUUACAUAUUCCAGGUGGUUGCUAAGCUGUUGCUAACUGGUUGCUAGGCAAUUGCUAAUGUAUUCCACAUGGUUGUUAAGUGGUUGCUAGGCAGUUUCUAAUAUUUUCCAGGUGGUUGCUAAGUGGUUGCUAACUGGUUGCUAUGCAGUUGCUAACAUAUUCCACAUGGUUUCCAAGUGGUUGCUAAGGUGUUGAUAUGGUAUCCGGGUUGGUUGCUAAGGUGUUGCUAGGUGGUUGCUAAGGUGUUGCUAUGGUAUCCAGGGUGGUUGGUAAGGUGUUGCUAGGUGGUUGCUAAGGUGUUGCUAUGGUAUCCGGGGUGUUGCCAAGGUGUUGCUAGGUGGUUGCUAGGCGGUUGCUAUGGUAUCCGGGGUGGUUGCUAAGGUGUUGCUAGGUGGUUGCUAGGCGGUUGCUAAGGUGUUGCUAUGGUAUCCGAGGUGGUUGCUAAAUGGU